Molecule: unclassified non-coding RNA, 357 nt
Filed under: uncultured fungus
Lineage: Eukaryota; Fungi
Description: partial contains small subunit ribosomal RNA, internal transcribed spacer 1, and 5.8S ribosomal RNA
Rfam family: Eukaryotic small subunit ribosomal RNA (bases 1-73)
Source: RNAcentral
GCAAACUUGGUCAUUUAGAGGAAGUAAAAGUCGUAACAAGGUUUCCGUAGGUGAACCUGCGGAAGGAUCAUUAUCGAGCCCGCCGCGGACCCGGCCGUUUCCCCAGAGAGAGCGGCCGGCCGCGGCGCACCGGCCCCCUACCAGUGUCUACUAUACCUGUUGCUUCGGCGGUCGUCCGGGCCGGCCGCGCCCGCCGCCGCCGGAGGUUGAAAUCUAGAAUAGUGUAUAUUUUAGCUACGGAAAGUCUGAGAUAGCGGCCGGCCGCCCCUAAGGGGAAGCCGUGUCAGCGAGUUUUAUAAUAAUUAGAAAACUUUCAACAACGGAUCUCUUGGUUCCAGCAUCGAUGAAGAACGCAGC